RNAcentral lists this ribosomal RNA (472 nucleotides) under uncultured bacterium. RNAcentral describes it as "bacterial SSU rRNA". It matches the Rfam family "Bacterial small subunit ribosomal RNA", at positions 355 to 825 of the family's 1533-position model. The record is from RNAcentral.
UGGGGAAUCUUGGACAAUGGGCGCAAGCCUGAUCCAGCCAUGCCGCGUGUGUGAAGAAGGUCUUCGGAUUGUAAAGCACUUUAAGUUGGGAGGAAGGGCAGUUACCUAAUACGUGAUUGUUUUGACGUUACCGACAGAAUAAGCACCGGCUAACUCUGUGCCAGCAGCCGCGGUAAUACAGAGGGUGCAAGCGUUAAUCGGAAUUACUGGGCGUAAAGCGCGCGUAGGUGGUUAGUUAAGUUGGAUGUGAAAUCCCCGGGCUCAACCUGGGAACUGCAUUCAAAACUGACUGACUAGAGUAUGGUAGAGGGUGGUGGAAUUUCCUGUGUAGCGGUGAAAUGCGUAGAUAUAGGAAGGAACACCAGUGGCGAAGGCGACCACCUGGACUGAUACUGACACUGAGGUGCGAAAGCGUGGGGAGCAAACAGGAUUAGAUACCCACGUAGUCCCUGAGCGGGCUGGCAAGGCGCAU